UCAAUAGCCUAGUGGACAUGGCAUCUGCCCGGUAAGCGGAACACUGUGGGUUCGAUUCCCAUCCCUGGACAC
RNAcentral lists this transfer RNA (72 nucleotides) under Cordylochernes scorpioides. RNAcentral's name for it is "tRNA-Thr". The stretch from base 5 to 62 matches the Rfam family "tRNA", at positions 8 to 63 of the family's 71-position model. Rfam says of the family: Transfer RNA (tRNA) molecules are approximately 80 nucleotides in length. The record is from RNAcentral. Lineage: Eukaryota; Metazoa; Arthropoda; Arachnida; Pseudoscorpiones; Chernetidae.